AAGUCGUAACAAGGUUUCCGUAGGUGAACCUGCGGAAGGAUCAUUACGAACAGCGCCGGCUCUCUGGGCCGGCGCCCCAACACGCUCGGGACACCCUGUUUGUGAGUACCAACCGUUUCCUCGGCGGGCCCGCCCGCCAGUGAGGACCCCAUCGAAACCCUUGCAAUGAGCAGUCAGUCAGUGUUAUAAUAAUUUGUCACAACUUUCAACAAUGGAUCUCUUGGCUCUA
Molecule: unclassified non-coding RNA, 229 nt
Filed under: air metagenome
Description: partial contains small subunit ribosomal RNA, internal transcribed spacer 1, and 5.8S ribosomal RNA
Rfam family: Eukaryotic small subunit ribosomal RNA (bases 1-46)
Source: RNAcentral